Molecule: ribosomal RNA, 459 nt
Filed under: uncultured bacterium
Lineage: Bacteria
Description: partial 16S ribosomal RNA
Rfam family: Bacterial small subunit ribosomal RNA
Source: RNAcentral
CCUACGGGUGGCAGCAGUGAGGAAUAUUGGUCAAUGGACGCAAGUCUGAACCAGCCAUGCCGCGUGCAGGAAGACGGCUCUAUGAGUUGUAAACCUCUUUUGUCGGAGAACAAAACCCGGGACGUGUCCCGGACUGCGUGUAUCCGAAGAAAAAGCAUCGGCUAACUCCGUGCCAGCAGCCGCGGUAAUACGGAGGAUGCGAGCGUUAUCCGGAUUUAUUGGGUUUAAAGGGUGCGUAGGCGGUCCGUUAAGUCAGUGGUAAAAUUGCGGGGCUCAACCCCGUCGAGCCGUUGAAACUGGCAGACUCGAGUUGGCGAGAAGUACGCGGAAUGCGCGGUGUAGCGGUGAAAUGCAUAGAUAUCGCGUAGAACUCCGAUUGCGAAGGCAGCGUACCGGCGCCAGACUGACGCUGAGGCACGAAAGCGUGGGGAGCGAACAGGAUUAGAUACCCUUGUAGUC